GGGGCCUAUACAUGCAAGUCGAGCGGACAGAUGGGAGCUUGCUCCCUGAUGUUAGCGGCGGACGGGUGAGUAACACGUGGGUAACCUGCCUGUAAGACUGGGAUAACUCCGGGAAACCGGGGCUAAUACCGGAUGGUUGUUUGAACCGCAUGGUUCAAACAUAAAAGGUGGCUUCGGCUACCACUUACAGAUGGACCCGCGGCGCAUUAGCUAGUUGGUGAGGUAACGGCUCACCAAGGCGACGAUGCGUAGCCGACCUGAGAGGGUGAUCGGCCACACUGGGACUGAGACACGGCCCAGACUCCUACGGGAGGCAGCAGUAGGGAAUCUUCCGCAAUGGACGAAAGUCUGACGGAGCAACGCCGCGUGAGUGAUGAAGGUUUUCGGAUCGUAAAGCUCUGUUGUUAGGGAAGAACAAGUACCGUUCGAAUAGGGCGGUACCUUGACGGUACCUAACCAGAAAGCCACGGCUAACUACGUGCCAGCAGCCGCGGUAAUACGUAGGUGGCAAGCGUUGUCCGGAAUUAUUGGGCGUAAAGGGCUCGCAGGCGGUUUCUUAAGUCUGAUGUGAAAGCCCCCGGCUCAACCGGGGAGGGUCAUUGGAAACUGGGGAACUUGAGUGCCGAAGAGGAGAGUGGAAUUCCACGUGUAUCGGUGAAAUGCGUAUAUAU
Molecule: ribosomal RNA, 671 nt
Filed under: Bacillus tequilensis
Lineage: Bacteria; Bacillati; Bacillota; Bacilli; Caryophanales; Bacillaceae
Description: bacterial SSU rRNA
Rfam family: Bacterial small subunit ribosomal RNA
Source: RNAcentral